CCCGGGCAAACCCUAAUCGUUGCCGCCACCUCCUCCUCUCUCCCCUGCUGCCACCCUUCCGUUCGCCGCCAGCGCGACGGCGCCCCUCCCCACUGACCGCGUCGCGAACUCGCGAUACGCCUCCGACACCCGUGCCCCCCUCCAGCGACGGCGGCGCCGCCCCUCACCGCUGACCACGCAGCCGGCGCGCGGUCCCUCCUGCCGACCGCGUCGCGAGACGCCUCCGACGCCACCACGAAGGAUCUUGAGCCGCCACCGGGAUGCCUUCUGUACCGCGACGCCGCCACCGCCAAGGAUCCUGCGCCAUGUGCUCUCUGUUGCGCCACCACCAGAACCCUCUCCACCACGCUGCAGACAAGGUAAGCUUCGCUCGAUCCCAUUCCUUCAACCAUUACAAUUGAAACCAACUAAAGCAACUCCCCCAAUGGCUUAAACUCCCCCAAUGUAGGACUUGAAAAUAACCAAUUGAUUUUAUUGCCCAAACAAGAGCAGCCGCAGCAGCAGCUGUUGCCUGGGUGAAUUUCACCUAUUCUCAGCCAUCCUUUUACUUCUAUGGCUGAGAUCACCUUUUUCUAAUUAACAACCCUUAUAACAAGUUUAGAUGUGGAGGGAAUAUAUAUACUUUUCUCUUCAUGUAGCGAUGAUGAGGAAGAUCGGUAUUGAGGACCAGCACCAGUGGCAUCUUAUGUAUUGUUUCAGAUGUACUAGGGAUGUAUGUAUGGUUUCAGAUCGUGGUUUUUGGAUGAAUAAAUUGAGUUUAGGUUUUAGUGCAACCUUGUCUCUUGCAUGAGUGGGGAUCGUUAGGGUCUUACAGAAUGCAUGACAAAAAGGAUUUAGGUAGAAAAAUGGCACAAAACAUGCAUUUUAUUAACAAGAUAUUCUGGAUCCUUUUUAUGCAUGAGAAGAGGUACAUCGGCCAUAUGAUUUUCAACUACUCUUAUGCAGGACUGCUACUCUUAUGCAUGAAACAUAAUAUACUCUUAUUCACACCGUGUAUAUUAUAUACUUACCUCGAGCAUAGACUGAAGUAUUCUAGAUUAUGAUGGCUUACGCAUAGAUUUAUAGAAAACCUGUGAGAAUGUUUUUGAAUGCUUCAGAAUUAUACAAUCCCGUAUGAGUGUUGCUUUCAUCUGUAGUAAUUCGAGCAUACAUUUAUUUGUGCCUCACUAUAAUCUCUUUGUAACGAUGCUGAUACUUCCAAAGUAUCCUUUUGCAAUGAGAAUAUGAUUGGGUUUAUUUUAAAAUUAUAUGGAAUAAAAAAACCUGCAAAUUCUAUUGAUGUCAAGGUUUUCUCAGCAAUUGUACACUGUACAUAAUAUUUCUUUCAACAGAUAGAAUGCAGUCCUGGUAAAAAAACAAAGAAAGAAUGCAGUUCUGGUAAAAAAAAGUUAGAAUAAUGCAGCUAUUCUUAGUCAGGAACUUCACUUUCUUACUAAAUUAAAGGGAUGGAUCAGAUGAAAACAUAACUACAUUAAAGGGAUGCAUGGUUUUGUGAUUUGUCAGGUGAGUUCAAGUUGAAUCAAUGAAAUUCAAAUAUGAAGAGGAACAUGGGCAUUCUUUCUUACUACUUUUAUAUUUCAGUGCCGAUCAGGGAGAAAGACGAGAGCAACUGGUUUCGGGAGCCGGUAUGCUUCAUUAAUUUGCAGAACUCCUGUAUGUCCUUGAUCCAAAGUUCCAGCAUUGUGUAGUCUGUCAACAAUUUAAAUUGGCACAAUUGAGUCGUGGGCAGCAUGGAGGUGGUGCUAACACCUAGGACAACGUGCAGCAGACGAUGAUCUGUGGAACCAUGAUUGUGGCUGAUGCUUUUAGCUGGAUAAUGGAGUGAGGGUCGAUGCAUCCGAUAUUAAAGGGCAACCAAUGACAGCAAAUGUGGAUGCCUACAUCAUCGUUGUAGGGCACAUGGAGGGGCUGUCUUGGUGAAGUUCCGGGGAGGCGACUACCUCUGGGGCGGUGAGGUCAGCUUGACUGGGGUGUGGUUUGACUGUAUUACAUGAUUUGAUUAACUUUUUGAAAUAUGAUACAACUGAUUUGCAUGAUUUUGUGUUGUACCUAAUUGGCAGGAUUGUCAAUAGUUUACUAUUCCCCACUUGAUGAUCAAGCAUGAUUCCCCAUAUAUGGUGUUGUUUAAUGUUGGUGUUUAUGCUGACUCUUGGCCAUGGAAAACAUUGAUCAAGCAUGAUUCCCCUUAUAUGGUGUUGUUUAAUGUUGGUGUUUAUGCUGACUCUUGGCCAUGGAAAACAUUGAGCAAGCUAAAAUUUAAAUGAACUAAUUUAUGCUGAUCAAGGCCUAGCCUUUUUCUUUGUUUUGAAACGCCUUUAAUAAUUCUUAAGAUUCCGUUUCACCUCUCUGCAGCACAAGCAAGGCAUUUCAAGUUCAACACAAUGAAGUGCAUAAUAAGCUAUUGGGCUGUUAAAUAAAUCUGAAGCAUGCAAUGGCUGUAGAAACCUUAUUACUCUCCUACACACUGGUUCAAUCAGAAUUGUGUAGGUUUUGUUGGGAUCUGGAUAAUAUUUUUCUGAAUCAGUGGUCAUAGUAUGCGCAUAAUAGAUUAUUGAGAGAAUUCUUUGCCACUUUACUAGAUUUGUUACCCCUCAUGCCAUUUCCAGAGAUGUAUUGUUAUCGAACCAUCAAGUGGGCUGUAAAAUAAUCAUGUCCUUACUGUGGUGUAUGUGUAUUAUUUUGUAUUAAGAUCAACGGAAUGUGGAAGCAUUUUUUUUUGGCGA
Molecule: non-coding RNA, 2723 nt
Organism: Oryza sativa Japonica Group (Japanese rice)
Lineage: Eukaryota; Viridiplantae; Streptophyta; Magnoliopsida; Poales; Poaceae
Source: RefSeq, a predicted model, not a curated record